UUAAAUACUGGUUCUCAUCCGAUCAUCGAAGUUAAGCAAUGUCGCGCCUGGUCAGUACCUAGAUGGGUGACCUGGUG
Non-coding RNA from Acanthosepion pharaonis, 77 nucleotides. The record is from the annotation of a GenBank genome assembly. NCBI's taxonomy places the organism in Eukaryota, Metazoa, Mollusca, Cephalopoda, Sepiida, Sepiidae.